GAUCCUGGCUCAGGAUGAACGCUGGCGGCGUGCCUAACACAUGCAAGUCGAACGAAGCACCUUACCUGAUUCUUCGGAUGAAAGUUUGGUGACUGAGUGGCGGACGGGUGAGUAACGCGUGGGUAACCUGCCCUGUACAGGGGGAUAACAGCUGGAAACGGCUGCUAAUACCGCAUAAGCGCACGAGGAGACAUCUCCUUGUGUGGAAAACUACCGGUGGUACAGGAUGGCCCGGCCGU
RNAcentral lists this ribosomal RNA (239 nucleotides) under uncultured bacterium. RNAcentral describes it as "partial 16S ribosomal RNA". It matches the Rfam family "Bacterial small subunit ribosomal RNA", at positions 15 to 236 of the family's 1533-position model. The record is from RNAcentral.